UUUGAUCAUGGCUCAGAUUGAACGCUGGCGGAAUGCUUUACACAUGCAAGUCGAACGGCAGCACGGAGAGCUUGCUCUCUGGUGGCGAGUGGCGAACGGGUGAGUAAUAUAUCGGAACGUGUCCAAUAAUGGGGGAUAACGAGUCGAAAGAUUCGCUAAUACCGCAUACGCCCUACGGGGGAAAGCAGGGGAUCGUAAGACCUUGCGUUAAUGGAGCGGCCGAUAUCUGAUUAGCUUGUUGGUGAGGUAAAGGCUCACCAAGGCGACGAUCAGUAGCUGGUUUGAGAGAACGACCAGCCACACUGGAACUGAGACACGGUCCAGACUCCUACGGGAGGCAGCAGUGGGGAAUUUUGGACAAUGGGGGCAACCCUGAUCCAGCCAUUCCGCGUGAGUGAAGAAGGCCUUCGGGUUGUAAAGCUCUUUCGCAAGGGAAGAAAACUUAUGAUCGAAUAAAUCAUGAGGUUGACGGUACCUUGAUAAGAAGCACCGGCUAACUACGUGCCAGCAGCCGCGGUAAUACGUAGGGUGCGAGCGUUAAUCGGAAUUACUGGGCGUAAAGCGUGCGCAGGCGGUUUUGUAAGUCGGAUGUGAAAUCCCCGGGCUCAACCUGGGAACUGCGUUCGAAACUGCAAGGCUAGAGUGUGUCAGAGGGGGGUAGAAUUCCACGUGUAGCAGUGAAGUGCGUAGAGAUGUGGAGGAAUACCAAUGGCGAAGGCAGCCCCCUGGGAUAACACUGACGCUCAUGCACGAAAGCGUGGGGAGCAAACAGGAUUAGAUACCCUGGUAGUCCACGCCCUAAACGAUGUCAACUAGUUGUUGGUAGAGUAAAAUCUAUGAGUAACGUAGCUNACGCGUGAAGUUGACCGCCUGGGAGUACGGUCGCAGAUUAAAACUCAAAGGAAUUGACG
RNAcentral lists this ribosomal RNA (911 nucleotides) under uncultured bacterium. RNAcentral's name for it is "bacterial SSU rRNA". It matches the Rfam family "Bacterial small subunit ribosomal RNA", at positions 12 to 915 of the family's 1533-position model. The record is from RNAcentral.